GUUUUAGUAUAAGUAUGUCCCAUGUAGUAUUUGGAAUAUACUUAUACUAAAA
MicroRNA precursor from Pan troglodytes (chimpanzee), 52 nucleotides. It matches the Rfam family "mir-1302 microRNA precursor family". Lineage: Eukaryota; Metazoa; Chordata; Mammalia; Primates; Hominidae. The record is from Rfam.